This 460-nucleotide ribosomal RNA is filed under the name uncultured bacterium. Its description in RNAcentral is "partial 16S ribosomal RNA". It matches the Rfam family "Bacterial small subunit ribosomal RNA", at positions 338 to 795 of the family's 1533-position model. The record is from RNAcentral.
CCUACGGGACGCAGCAGUGAGGAAUAUUGGUCAAUGGACGCAAGUCUGAACCAGCCAUGCCGCGUGCAGGAAGACGGCUCUAUGAGUUGUAAACUGCUUUUGUACGAGGGUAAACGCAGAUACGCGUAUCUGUCUGAAAGUAUCGUACGAAUAAGGAUCGGCUAACUCCGUUCCAGCCGCCGCGGUAAUACGGAGGAUUCAAGCGUUAUCCGGAUUUAUUGGGUUUAAAGGGUGCGUAGGCGGUCGGAUAAGUUAGAGGUGAAAUCCCGAGGCUCAACUUCGGAAUUGCAUCUGAUACUGUUCGGCUAGAGAGUAGUUGCGGUAGGCGGAAUGUAUGGUGUAGCGGUGAAAUGCUUAGAGAUCAUACAGAACACCGAUUGCGAAGGCAGCUUACCAAGCUACUUCUGACGUUGAGGCACGAAAGCGUGGGGAGCAAACAGGAUUAGAUACCCCUGUAGUC